This 75-nucleotide small nucleolar RNA is filed under the name Tetranychus urticae (two-spotted spider mite). RNAcentral's name for it is "snoRNA tetur34g01201". Lineage: Eukaryota; Metazoa; Arthropoda; Arachnida; Trombidiformes; Tetranychidae. The record is from RNAcentral.
AAAAAGGAUGAGAAAAUUUUGACUUGACCUUUACUGAAGUCUAUUAGACAAAAAAAGCAGCCUUUUUUACUGCCC